RNAcentral lists this ribosomal RNA (305 nucleotides) under uncultured bacterium. Its description in RNAcentral is "bacterial SSU rRNA". It matches the Rfam family "Bacterial small subunit ribosomal RNA", at positions 338 to 641 of the family's 1533-position model. The record is from RNAcentral.
CCUACGGGACGCAGCAGUGAGGAAUAUUGGUCAAUGGCCGGAAGGCUGAACCAGCCAAGCCGCGUGAAGGACGAAGGUGCCAAGCAUUGUAAACUUCUUUUGUCAAGGGACAAAAUCAGGCUCGAGAGCCUGACCGAGGGUACUUGAAGAAAAAGCAUCGGCUAACUCCGUGCCAGCAGCCGCGGUAAUACGGAGGAUGCGAGCGUUAUCCGGAUUUAUUGGGUUUAAAGGGUGCGCAGGCGGCGUGUCAAGCAAGCGGUAAAAUAGCGGGGCUCAACCCCGUCGAGCCGUUUGAACUGGCGCGC